GAUAUUCAUCACUCUUAGUAUUCCCUCAUAAAUCACCAUAAACUCACAUGUAACAUCCCAAUUAACAAUCUAAUUUACCAUGACAAUAAACAUUGCAAUAAACAAUAGAGUAAUGCACCACAUUAUUGCAUAGUCACUACAAAUUCUGACCAAAAACAGAAUCCAAUGUAGUCUGCUGGACUUCCGCUCGACCGAGCUACUACCUCACUCGGUCGAGCAAGCUUCCAGAGAAGCUACUGACUUGUUCUUCACACCUUGCUCGACCGAGCCAACACCACUCGACCGGUCGAGCAACACUUAACUCGAUCGGGCGGUUGGUCGAGCCACUCACAGUCUGCUUCUUUAUUCGUUGCUUUGAUCAAGCAACUCUUAUCAAUCGUUCCAAACCUUAAAUCACCUAUAUUCGACACAUCUUUAUCGACCCUCUCUAAAGUACAAGACAAAGCAUGUUCGAUUAUAUGUUUAAAGUUAACGUCAUCAUUAAGAUUAUUGGUACUUGCUUUAACAGAUGGUGAUAAAAUGCUUUCUAUCUUGAGGUUUAGUUAUGACAAUCUAGAAGCCCCAUUGAAGAGUUGUUUUAGUUAUUCUGCAUUGUUUCGUAAAGAUUUUAGAAUUGAGAAGGAGAAGUUGAUUAGCCUUUGGAUAGCACAAGGAUAUAUUGUGCCAGACAAAGGGCAAAGUCUUGAUGAUGCAGCAGAGGGACAUUUUUUGACUUUGUUGCAGACGUUUCUUUGAAAUUGAUGUGGGUUCACCAUUCAACCUUAUUAAAAUCCAUGACUUUAUGCACCAUCUUGCUCAAGAUGUGAGGAAGAAGGAAAUGAUUGAUUCUCUCAAUUCAAACCUGCAGGCCGAUGAAGUUCGUCAUGUAAGAGAUAUUUGUCUAGAUAGCUUUAGAUGUAGCCCUAAGAUUCGAUCAUAUAUCAGAAAGUUUCAUAAAGAUGUAGAUAUAAGGAACUGGAAAUACCUAAGGGUUUUAGGCUUAUCUUAUUCUAAAUUCAAGAGUUUGCCCAAGUCAAUAGGAAAGCUACUCCUUUUAAGGUAUUUGGACCUGUCAUAUAAUGAUGAACUAGAUGCACUCUCUAAUGAGAUUACAAAACUACAUAAUUUGGAGACAUUACUUCUAAGUGAGUGUAGUAGUUUAAGGGAGUUUCCAAAGGGAUCAGGAAAACUAAUUAAACUUAGACACCUUGACUUGGGUCGAUGUUGUAAGUUCAUUGAGGAAGGGCCUUUAAUGGAUGUAUUAUUACUCAAUUGGAGGUACCUAGGAGUGUUGAACAUGUCUGGUUUGAAUGGGGAGAGUUUACCUAUCUCAAUAGGUAAGUUAAUGCAUUUGAGGCAUCUUGACUUUCUGAAAACAUAUAUCUGAAGGUAGUCCCUGAUGAGAUUUCCGAGUUAUGUAAUCUGCAAUCGUUAAUAUUACGUAAAUGCUAUCGUUUAAGGUGUUUGCCGAAAAAUUUCAGUAAAUUGUCUAAACUUAGGCAAUUUGAUUUGGAUGAUUGCAUAAGCUUGACUUGUAUGCCUCUAGGUAUGGAGAAGUUGACAAGCCUUACUUUUCUACCUUACUUUGUGGUGGGUAGGAGAAAUUCAGCUCAGAUAGAAUGUGAUGAUGAGUUGAAAGUUCUAAAACCUCUCACUAAAAUAAAAGGUAGCAUCAAAAUAGUGAUAGGUGAAUAUUAUAGAAAAGUGGAAAGCUUGAAUGACAUAGAAGGAGGAUAUUUGUGGAGGAUAGAACAUCUUGAGGAGGUUGACUUAAAAUUUGAUUUUGAUUGUGAAAACCCAGAAGCCACUUUGGAAACCCUAAAGCCACAUUCAAAUCUCAAGAAGCUAAAGUUAUCCAACUACAAGGGUACAACCAUUCCAAAGUGGGGAAGAGCAAUAGAUAAUUGGGCUAUCUCCCUUUCUGGUCUUGUCUCCAUCAGCCUUAAGGAUUGUACACAUCUGCAAGAGAUGCCCAUGUUAAGUAAGUUGCCUCAUCUGAAAAGACUGAAUCUUGAAAAGUUGAAUAACUUGGAUUUCAUGGAAAUUUCGAGCAAUGGCACCGAAAGAGAAGAAUUACCAAUAUUUUUCCCGUCUCUUGAUAUCUUGAGAUUAGAAGCCUCUCGGAGUUGAAGGGGUGGUGGAAGGGAGAGCCAUCUUGGGUAGAUGAUGAUUGUCGCUCAAAGAAGAGAUUGCGAUUUCCUUGUCUCUCUGAGUUGAGGAUUAGCUCUUGCAUGAAGCUAACAUCGUUUCCUCAAUGUCCACGCCUUGAAGCGUUGGAAUUGAGUAAAAACAAUGAAACGUUGGAGAUAAGAGUAAAACCCAGGGCCACCGAUGAAGAAGAAGAAGUCCUUUUACGUGAGUUGACAAUAGAUGACUUAGGUAUUCUCAAAUCACUACCAACAAGUCGUCUUACUCAACUCAUCAUAAAAACCGGGGUGCGUAGACUAUAUUAUACGUAGGGGGUUGACAAUUUAUCACAAGAAUUUUCCAGAUGUGCCUCUGCCCUGAAAAGCCUAUGUAUUGAAGAUAUGAAUAUGCUAAGGAUACUUUCCGGAAGAAAAGGAUUUCACAAUUUCACUGCCUUAGAGUCUCUAGACAUAGCGGUGCCAGCAACGCCAUUCAUGUUCGUUGAAUACGAGGAUGAUGACAUAUUUUGGAAAUCUUUAUCUCAAAGUCUCCGUAUCCUGAAUUUCGAAAGCGGGCCGAGAAUGAAAAAUGGUCUACCCAAGGGGAUUCGGUGCUUGAUGUCCCUCCAAACCCUCCAAAUUGAGUCUGGGGACAGUGUGAAAACAAUACCUGAAUGGAUAGAUUGCUUAUCAUCUCUCCAAUACCUGUCUAUACAUAACUGUCCUGAGCUUAAAUCACUUCCAGAAGAAAUGAAGAAACUCGACUCUCUGAAGAGUCUUGAGAUAAACUUUUUUCCGGAGCUAGAAGAACGAUGUCGAAAACCUGAUGGAGUGGAUUGGCCCAAGAUCAACACAUCCCCAACAUUCAGAUUAAUGAUACAAAAAUUUACUGAUGCACUGAAUUCAUCUCUUGGGCCUUGUUUAUUAGAUGAAUUAAUUUAUAAAGCAUUUGAUCGCAAAUAUUCUUUACAUUUAUCCAAUUGAUUGGUUUUCGCUCCCGACUCUCGAGCAAAGUGAUUUUCAACAGGCAGUAUGUUACUUGUCCUCGAGCUGCACUGAUGCUUGUUCGAGCUCUUAGCCCAGCACCCCGGAAGCAUCCUUCUGAGUUUUGUGUAAACUCUUCACUUCAUAAUUCUUUCCGAUGAGC
Amaranthus tricolor (Joseph's coat) is the source of this 3252-nucleotide RNA transcript. It is a transcript of the gene named putative disease resistance protein RGA4, with no coding region annotated. Lineage: Eukaryota; Viridiplantae; Streptophyta; Magnoliopsida; Caryophyllales; Amaranthaceae. The record is from RefSeq and is a predicted model, not a curated record. The transcript has 2 exons.